AUACGAAAGGUGCAAGCGUUGUUCGGAUUUACUGGGCGUAAAGAGAGUGUAGGUGGUUUAUUAAGUCGGAUGUGAAAUCCCGGGGCUCAACCUCGGAACUGCAUUCGAUACUGAUAGGCUAGAGUUUGGGAGGGGUAAGCGGAAUUCCGUGUGUAGCAGUGAAAUGCGUAGAUAUACGGAGGAACACCUGAGGCGAAGGCGGCUUACUGGACCAAUACUGACACUGAGACUCGAAAGCGUGGGUAGCAAACAGGAUUAGAAACCCGUGUAGUCC
Molecule: ribosomal RNA, 274 nt
Filed under: uncultured bacterium
Lineage: Bacteria
Description: partial 16S ribosomal RNA
Rfam family: Bacterial small subunit ribosomal RNA
Source: RNAcentral